GCACAAAUGGUCAAGGAUCUGGCAGGGUUGGUGGUUCAAUUUCCUUGUACGAUUUUGUAAGAAGCAGCAGAAGAAUCACUAAUUCCGGGUAGACAUGCCUCUUUAGACUUUAGUGAUGUAAACAAGUCACACGAGGUGAAAUAACAUCAGUUGCUGUCCCAUGAACAUUAUGGCAUAUUGCAGAAGCUGGCUUGUCUAGAUCAAUUGAGGUAAUGUUGAUUUGUUGCAGCUUAAUAUUGUCACACCCUAUCUUGGCACAGUCAAGCACAACUGCAUGCUCAUUGGUACAUGUGCCAUGUAUGUUCCUGAAUGUAACGUCAGUAACUUCUAAUGCUUCCUUCUGCAGCCAAAAUAAAAGGGGGAAACUAUGAUGCAGAUUGUCACCAAACAAAUCAACAAAUAACAAGCAAUAAGAAAGAAUGUUAACCUUUUCUGGAGUCCUCAUGUAAUGUUGGUCAAUAUACACCGGGUAAUUUGUUUGAUUCACUAUGAUAUUCUCGUAGAUGAUAGCCUUGGCGUACCCUUUUCCACCCUUCAUAGUAAGUAGAAAGCAUUUUUAUUAAUUAAAUUUAAAAUACAAAUAUAUUAUUGUAAAUUAUUUAGAAAAAAACUAGCAAAGUACAGCUUAAUACUCUUUUCGUUAUAUUCAUUUUUCAUAGUUCAAAUUAAUAUCAGAUCUACUAAAUUAUACAGCUCCAUUCUCAUUUUGUCGGAUCAUGCUUGAAAUUUAAUAUAAAUUUCUACUUAAUAAAAAAGUUAUAAUGGAAAGAAUGUAUUAGAAAGUGGUAGCAUUUACCGGCCAUGUUUUGAUUCUAGCUGCACUAUCACCUCCAUUGAAUGUGCAAUUCCUAACAUUCACAUGUUCUGCGAAUUCCUCUUCUCCAUUUUCCCCUAGACUCCCCACACUGCAUCAAAAUUGAAAAUUUUAAGGCAUGCGGACAAAUUACUCAUUUAUAAAACUUCAAUUUUGGGUGAAAAAGAUUUUUUUAAUUUUUGCAAAUCUAAGUCCCCUAACUUGUGCAUAUAUGGCAAGGUCAGAUGGUAACAAUAUUGACAAACCUAAUCCCGUGACCAGGUCCACAAGUAACAUGGCUAAUGUUGAUGAAUCGUGAGCCACCUUUGAUGGCAAUACAGUCAUCACCUAAAAUCACACACGCAACACAUAGAUCAAAAUUGUAGAAUUACCUACUUAGAGAGAAACAAUCUGCAAAAAUAAGGGCAAGAUCAGAAAAUGAUAAUUAGUGGGUGAAGGUUUAUGUGAAACAUGUAUAUUUACCGCUCCCUAUUAUUGAGUUACGAAUGUUAACCCGAACUGUGUUUGAGAUAUCAAUUCCAUCAGUGUUGUGACUAAUUCCUUUUGGUGAAUUUAUGUGAACUCCUGAGAUUGUUACAUCUCGGCUGUGAACCACAAAGAUAUGCGAUGCUGGCCCGUUUAUGUGAGUGAGUCUACUUAUUUGAAGCCCAUCACAUCUUUCAAAUAGCAGAGCCUGCAAAUUCUCCAUUGCAAACAUAUCACUAUUAUUUGAACCAAAAAAAAACUUCUUAUCAGUUCUUUUAUGAUGAUGGAGACAAGAAAGAUGGAGGCAAGGAGGAAAGAGUGAGUGGAUGCAGGGGCCAUGGCUGACAAUGUGACGGACCUGGCUACAAUGGUGGAGAGAUUGAAGUGGUGAAGGUUCAGAUUGGUCUGGAAGCAGGGAGAAAGACAGAGAGAAAGGAGAGUAAAGUCUGAAAUAUCCUUUGUACAAAGUCUUUAAUACCCCUGGUCCACCGGUGGACCAAAAACAAAGUUGCACACCCUAGUGGGCACCACAAUUAAAUACUACUAUUAAAAGUUAAUGCAAUUCGGCAUUCAUUUUAAUUUUUAAUGGAAAAAUAUAAUUAGACAAAAUUUUCAUG
Lotus japonicus is the source of this 1896-nucleotide long non-coding RNA. RefSeq lists it as uncharacterized. The record is from RefSeq and is a predicted model, not a curated record. The transcript is spliced from 3 exons. Lineage: Eukaryota; Viridiplantae; Streptophyta; Magnoliopsida; Fabales; Fabaceae.